GGGCCUGUGGUCUAGCGGCUACAGCAAAAGAGCAGCUCUUUUGAGCUUGCGGCUUUUGCGCCGCAAAUGAUCCCACCUUCACACGGUGGUGGUCGCCAGUUCGAAUCUGGCCAGGCCCA
This 119-nucleotide transfer RNA is filed under the name Candidatus Woesearchaeota archaeon. Its description in RNAcentral is "tRNA-Val". It matches the Rfam family "tRNA". From Rfam's summary of the family: Transfer RNA (tRNA) molecules are approximately 80 nucleotides in length. Their secondary structure includes four short double-helical elements and three loops (D, anti-codon, and T loops). The record is from RNAcentral. Lineage: Archaea; Nanobdellati; Candidatus Woesearchaeota.